UAUCUCUGUAGAGUCUGCAUAUCAAUAAGCGGAGGAAAAGAAACUAACAAGGAUUCCCUUAGUAACGGCGAGUGAAGCGGGAAGAGCUCAAAUUUGAAAUCUCCAAGGUUCUACCUUGACGAAUUGUAGUUUAAAGAAGUGUUUUCUGUUAGAUGAGUAGCAAAAGUUCCUUGGAAUGGGACAUCAUAGAGGGUGAGAAUCCCGUAUUUGGUUAUUCAUUCUAGCUUUGUGAUACACUUUCAAAGAGUCGGAUUGUUUGGGAAUGCAGUCCAAAAUGGGUGGUAAAUUUCAUCUAAAGCUAAUAUUGGCGAGAGACCGAUAGCGAACAAGUACCGUGAGGGAAAGAUGAAAAGAACUUUGAAAAGAGAGUUAAACAGUACGUGAAAUUGUCAAAAGGGAAGCGUUUGACACCAGUGUUGUUUUUCUCCGAAAAUCAAUUACAAAUGGCUUGAUUUUGUGUUGUAUUGACCUUAUCAGCUUUCUUCACUUUUUUCGAGUCUUUCUUAAUGCACUUUUCGGUUAACAAGUCAACAUCAAUUUCUUUUGUUGUAAAAGAGUAUUCGGAAGGUGGCUUUCUUUUCGGAGAAAGUGUUUAUAGCCCUAUACUUCUACAAUCGGAGAGAUUGAGGUCUGCAGCGUAGAUCCUUCGGGGUUAGAUACACUUGUGCUAAGUUGUAGCUUUUCAUAGACAACUUGUUGACUAUGUUUAGUCAUGCGGCUUACUCGCUUGUGCUAUUUACCUACGCUUAGGAUGUUGACUGAUAUGUAGUCGUA
This 774-nucleotide ribosomal RNA is filed under the name uncultured Neocallimastigales. Its description in RNAcentral is "partial large subunit ribosomal RNA". It matches the Rfam family "Eukaryotic large subunit ribosomal RNA", at positions 24 to 644 of the family's 3401-position model. The record is from RNAcentral. Lineage: Eukaryota; Fungi; Neocallimastigomycota; Neocallimastigomycetes; Neocallimastigales.